Ribosomal RNA from Elaeis guineensis (African oil palm), 119 nucleotides. The record is from RefSeq and is a predicted model, not a curated record. Lineage: Eukaryota; Viridiplantae; Streptophyta; Magnoliopsida; Arecales; Arecaceae.
GGGUGCGAUCAUACCAGCACUAACGCACCGGAUCCCAUCAAAACUCCGCAGUCAAGCGUGCUUGGGUGAGAGUAGUACUCGAAUGGGUGACCACCUGGAAAGUUCUCGUGUUGCACCCC